CGAUUACGGGGUGCUGCAGGCGCGAAAACUCUGCAAUAAGCGAAAGCUUGACAGGGUUAUUCUGAGUGAUUUCCGCUAAGGAAAUCUUUUGGCACCUCUAAAAAUGGUGCAGAAUAAGGGGUGGGCAAGCCUGGUGUCAGCCGCCGCGGUAAUACCAGCACCCCGAGUGGUCGGGACGAUUAUUGGGCCUAAAGCAUCCGUAGCCGGUUCUACAAGUCUUCCGUUAAAUCCACCUGCUCAACAGUUGGGCUGCGGAGGAUACUAUAGAGCUAGGAGGCGGGAGAGGCAAGCGGUACUCAGUGGGUAGGGGUAAAAUCCGUUGAUCCACUGAAGACCACCAGUGGUGAAGGCGGCUUGCCAGAACGCGCUCGACGGUGAGGGAUGAAAGCUGGGGGAGCAAACCGGAUUAGAUACCCGGGUAGUCCCAGCUGUAAACGAUGCAGACUCGGUGAUGGGUUGGCCUCGCGCCUGCCCAGUGCCGCAGGGAAGCCGUUAAGUCUGCCGCCUGGGGAGUACGGUCGCAAGACUGGAACUUAAAGGAA
This 542-nucleotide ribosomal RNA is filed under the name uncultured bacterium. RNAcentral describes it as "bacterial SSU rRNA". It matches the Rfam family "Archaeal small subunit ribosomal RNA", at positions 323 to 864 of the family's 1478-position model. The record is from RNAcentral.